Molecule: long non-coding RNA, 323 nt
Organism: Oreochromis aureus
Lineage: Eukaryota; Metazoa; Chordata; Actinopteri; Cichliformes; Cichlidae
Exons: 4
Source: RefSeq, a predicted model, not a curated record
UGGUAAAGCAUGUAAGGGAAAAAUGCAUUUGAUUUAAACAGAUGUUUAACAUCAGAGUUUACUAAUACUACUAUUACUACACUACCUGCUGAAUCAGCAUGACUUCUCACAUUGUGGUGGAACAAGAACAGAUUCAGAAGAGGACCUUCACCAACUGGGUCAAUGCCCAGCUGGCAAAGAGGAGGCCACCGUGCAUGGUUGUAGAUCUGUUCAAUGAUUUCCGUGAUGGCUCCAAACUGCUGGACCUGCUGGAGGUGAUGAGUGGUUUGCACAUCAGUCGGGAGAGAGGCAGGGGAAUGUUUCAGCACAGGAGCAAUAUCGAG